UUUAAAAUAAAGUUUGCCCCAGGCAUAUGCCUUCAAGCAUUUUCGAGAGUUAGAUUAAAUUUUUUUUUAAUAACUAAAAGGAAAAGUGUAGCUCUAUGCUUGCAUAUAUUGCAGUUUUGGCGCUUUUGAAUGUAUGUUCUUGAGUUAAGUCCUAAAACAGGACAGGUGAAUUGAAAAAAUGGACUUUAUAGUGGCGAUUCUGAAUUUCAACGCCUCUUAAGGUAAUUUGAUGUAUGUUCUUGACUCAAGUCCUAAUAAGACUUGUAACAUGAAAAUAAAUUGGACUCUAUAUUAGUGUUUGCGAAUGGUGAUUAAUUUUAAUUUAAUAUGAUUUAGCUGAUGUAGAUGAAGGGUGCUUAUCCUUUUAAUUUUUUGGAUAAUUCAUAGAGGAUGAUUAACCAAUAACUUUCUUAUACAUAGGAAUUUACUAUUAGUCUAAUUUUGAGCAAAUGCAAUUCUAUAACACUCGAUGAAUUUAGCUAGAAGUUGAGAACAUCUAGAAGAAGAAUUCCCUGAAAAAGGAAAUCAAAACUUUUUCAUCUAAGGCAAAAGCAGAACCACGUUCUUUGCUCUGAUUAACCAUGGCAAAACUUUAUGAGAGGAUAUUGACAUUGUGACUAUGCAAUGCUUUUUAAUUGUUCAUUUGUGUGUAAAAUGUGCAUCGUAACCCUUCCAUUCAUAGACAUUAGCCAGGACAUUGUAAAAGGAAAAUGGAUAACACCUCUUUAAUUGGAGAAACACAGAUUACUAUGCCACUUAGCUUUUCUUUUCUUGUGUUUUUCCCCCUUCCAUUCUUAUCAAUCAAUUCCUUUUCUCACAAAACAUCGCCUGAAAUCUUCUUCCAUUUUUUCCCCCUUAUUGCUCUGUUUUUUUUGGUUAAUUCAUAUUUGUAUAUAUUACGUCAGGUAUAUUAAUGAGUUCUCUCUGUUAAACAGGCUCAAAUGCAGUUAUAUGUGCAAAAAUAGACAAUGAUGGACAAGUUGCAAGUAUGCCACCACCGGAACAAAUGAUGUGCGGCGUCAUUUGGGGAGUAGUGAUAUAUAUAAGGAAGCUAAAGAUUUCACAGCAGAAGGUUCGAACAUCAUAUGAUGGGAACAACUUUUGAAGCUGGUUAUCACUUAUCUCAACUUGUUUUGGCACAUACUGUUGUAUGCGUGAAGUAUUUAUGAUUCUUGGUCAUUGUAUUACAAGUUUGAUGAAGAACAAUAUGGUACUAGAUUGCAAAGGAAUAUUGUGGCAUGCAGAGAACUGUCUUUCUACAAAGUUAAAGCAUGGCGCCAAGAGUGUCGAUGUUGCACAUCAAAAUGUCUUCUCAAGGAAAAUCAUGUUUGCCAAGUCUAGCCGUAGUUUGAAAGACAAAAUAUUAGUAGGUCAUUUGGUUUCGUGAAAUUCUCAACAAAUAUGUCAUAAGAAGACAAUACAAGAUCCGUGUGUAUGGUUAUGACAAUCUCAUCUUUAGAGUUGAAUACACUGUUUCUGAAUCAUCCUUGG
Lycium ferocissimum is the source of this 1491-nucleotide long non-coding RNA. RefSeq lists it as uncharacterized. Lineage: Eukaryota; Viridiplantae; Streptophyta; Magnoliopsida; Solanales; Solanaceae. The transcript has 3 exons. The record is from RefSeq and is a predicted model, not a curated record.